RNAcentral lists this ribosomal RNA (434 nucleotides) under uncultured bacterium. Its description in RNAcentral is "partial 16S ribosomal RNA". It matches the Rfam family "Bacterial small subunit ribosomal RNA", at positions 29 to 507 of the family's 1533-position model. The record is from RNAcentral.
AGCGAACGCUGGCGGCAGGCCUAACACAUGCAAGUCGAACGAACCUUUCGGGGUUAGUGGCGGACGGGUGAGUAACACGUGGGAACGUGCCUUUAGGUUCGGAAUAACUCAGGGAAACUUGUGCUAAUACCGAAUGUGCCCUUCGGGGGAAAGAUUAAUCGCCUUUAGAGCGGCCCGCGUCUGAUUAGCUAGUUGGUUGAGGUAAUGGCUCACCAAGGCGACGAUCAGUAGCUGGUCUGAGAGGAUGAUCAGCCACAUUGGGACUGAGACACGGCCCAAACUCCUACGGGAGGAAGCAGUGGGGAAUCUUGCGCAAUGGGCGAAAGCCUGACGCAGCCAUGCCGCGUGAAUGAUGAAGGUCUUAGGAUUGUAAAAUUCUUUCACCGGGGACGAUAAUGACGGUACCCGGAGAAGAAGCCCCGGCUAACUUCGUG